This 2163-nucleotide long non-coding RNA is filed under the name Helianthus annuus (common sunflower). RNAcentral describes it as "hypothetical non coding rna". Lineage: Eukaryota; Viridiplantae; Streptophyta; Magnoliopsida; Asterales; Asteraceae. The record is from RNAcentral.
GUGUGCGUGUGUGUAUAUACGAUCGAUCAGGGACAGAGGGUGGGGUGAAACCCUAGUUUCACCAAAAUCCAUCAAAUUGAAGGGGGAUUGAAGGGCUAAACUAAUGCAUGAACCAAGUUUUUCGAUCACUUUAGCGUUUCUACCAUCAUGUAAGUCGAAUUUUGGUAUUUCAAUGAUGUUUGAUCAAGUGGGUUUUGUGUAAUAUGUGAUUAUAGUGUAAGAUUUUAGCAUGAAUGUUAGUUAUAAUGAAUGUGUAGAUGCCAAAGUAUGUUUAAUUUUGAUUAUGAUGAAUAUUGGGGGAAAACCCAUUUGCUAUAGGUAGGGUGGCGACAUGGGUAUACUACCCAUGUCAAAUCUUAUGCAAAUUCGAAAGUGUUAUGAUUUAUGUUAUUGGCUUUUGUCAGUUAGAUUUAGUAUGGUGUGAAGUUAUGCUAGUUUUAUUUAGAUGUUAAUGGCAAGUGAGCACAAGAAUUAGGAAGAUGAACAUGAGAAUAUUUGUACAUUAUGCUUUAAAUGCGAAACCCGCCAAGUGUUUGAUAAAAUGCCUACAAAGUUUGUGUAAAAUAGUUAGUAAAUUCGUCACUUUUGACAGCCUUAGAUAGUCAUCUUGUAAAGGCCGUAUCUCAUUCGUUAUUAGGAGUUAGACAACGAGCCUUAUAUCGUUGAAAAGGUUGUUUCGCAUAUUACAUUUCAUAUUUGGUCAUAAGAGGCUGGUUAUGAGAUUUAGUGGGUCAAAACAGCAUGAAAAGUUAGUAAAUUCGUCACUUUUGACAGCCUUAGAUAGUCAUCUUGUAAAGGCCGUAUCUCAUUCGUUAUUAGGAGUUAGACAACGAGCCUUAUAUCGUUGAAAAGGUUGUUUCGCAUAUUACAUUUCAUAUUUGGUUAUAAGAGGCUGGUUAUGAGAUUUAGUGGGUCAAAACAGCAUGAAAAGUUAGUAAAUUCGUUUUGACAGCAAGCUGUUUGGAAGCAUUUCAGCUUCUGUGCUGAUUUUGUAAAAAUCAUAUAAAAUCAUAGGAAUGUCCGAUUGUUACGAUCUUUAUAUGCUUAGAAAGAUCUCUGAGUGUAGAUCAUUUCAUAUUUGAACAUGAAGAACUGAAUCAGAAGAUAAAUGGGUUAAAAUGUGUCGUGAACAGCUGCUGCGCAGAAAGUUGCUGCACAAAUUUUAGUAUAAAUAUUCAGUAAAAAUAGUUGUAUUGUUAUGCACACUUGUAUGAAUCAUGAACUACUGAUUUUAAUAAAUUAUUAGUAAGUUACUUGAUUGUUUUAAGUGUCUAAAACACUUACCAACUAGUUUAUGCAUAUAAUUGCACCAACGGGUCGAAACGGGUUGUUGAUAGAAAAUAGUAGAAUGGAUGUGUAAAAACCAAGGUGUUAAGAAAUGGUAUGAAAUGUUUAACAUAUGAAGCAAGUUGCCUAACUUAGAAAAGGUUAUCAUUCUAAGUAUGGAAUUUUGAAAGAAUAACGAACAUGAUGUAAAUACAUAAUUAUGCAUGCUAGAAGCUCAUGUAUGACUGUUGUGAUGAUGGAAUGAUAAAUUGUUAGAUUGAUUAGCAUUGUAGUAUUAUGAUACAUGUUGAACUCGUUAAGCGAUUGACACGUGAAUAGAAGUGUGAUUAGUGAUGCGUAUGAUUAUGUAUACUAACUAUUGAAUGGAUGUAAUGGAAUGAGAUAAUAGGAACGUGUCAAGGAGAGGUCAAGCAUAGGAGGAUAACGGGUCAAGAUAAGGCAAGGUGACAAAUACACUUAUUGGAGUACUCAAGGAAGGAACAUUGGCAUGUAUGAAGGUAUGGGAUCGUUGGCUUCAUGAAGAAAUGGAGCUGGAUUUGGAUAAGAGUAUUUAAGAAAGCGCUUGGACAAUUCCACGACUACUUUAUAGAAUGCUCUACGAAACUCUAUUAUAUAGUUUAAUGUUGUAUGGUAUGUUAAUGACUAAUGGUUUGGUUGUACGUGGUGUCCACAGGUAUCGCUUGGGUUUUCUCUACAUUUAUUGAAGUGAAGCGGACUUAGUUCGAGUUGAGAGCAAGGAUUGUACGGGGUAGAAUGGUCACAUAGUGUAACUCAUAUAGGUUUUGAAGUAUUAAUGUUAUAAAACGUUAUAAAUCCGUUUUAAUGAAUAUAUGGCAUUUCGCAUUUGAACCUUCAUGUGUUUGAUAUGUCUAUUAA